CCUACGGGAGGCAGCAGUGAGGAAUAUUGGUCAAUGGACGAGAGUCUGAACCAGCCAAGUAGCGUGAAGGAUGACUGCCCUACGGGUUGUAAACUUCUUUUAUAUGGGAAUAAAAUGUUCCACGUGUGGGAUUUUGUAUGUACCAUAUGAAUAAGGAUCGGCUAACUCCGUGCCAGCAGCCGCGGUAAUACGGAGGAUCCGAGCGUUAUCCGGAUUUAUUGGGUUUAAAGGGAGCGUAGGUGGAUUGUUAAGUCAGUUGUGAAAGUUUGCGGCUCAACCGUAAAAUUGCAGUUGAAACUGGCAGUCUUGAGUACAGUAGAGGUGGGCGGAAUUCGUGGUGUAGCGGUGAAAUGCUUAGAUAUCACGAAGAACUCCGAUUGCGAAGGCAGUUCACUAGACUGCAACUGACACUGAGGCUCGAAAGUGUGGGUAUCAAACAGGAUUAGAUACCCGGGUAGUC
RNAcentral lists this ribosomal RNA (460 nucleotides) under uncultured bacterium. RNAcentral describes it as "partial 16S ribosomal RNA". It matches the Rfam family "Bacterial small subunit ribosomal RNA", at positions 338 to 795 of the family's 1533-position model. The record is from RNAcentral.